AGAGGACCACAGACCUGAGGCCGGCUAGGACGAGAGGACCGCGGCUCACCUGCCAUCAACAGGCUUGCAGGGGCCCCUUGCUGCACCCAAGGGGCUGGGGCCGGGCCGACCACCGAGAGAACUCACCGUGCAUCCCCUGCCAGCCUCCUGCUCAGGGGCAGCCGGGACGUGGGCAGUCGCCUCCCAGACUCCAGCCAGGGUCCCGGAUGUGGGGAAGGCCACCCAUCAGGCGAGUGCAGCCACGGGUCCUUUGCUUUCUUAUUCACCGCUGACGUCUGUACUAAUGACGACACGCUUUCGAAUGCCAAUUGGCUGACUGAAGUACUAGCCACAGAGAUUAAACAUGACAUAAACCUGGCCAAUGAAGGGCUUCCCUGGGACAGUGGCUGGAACUAUCAGGGAAAAGAUGUGCUUUCUCUGUAGACUGAGUUGAUGCAGCUGAAAUGGACGGAGACCCAUCCGGAAGCCGUGGAGAGAGCCAGUGUCUCCUCAGCCCGCCCCAAGACGGGGGUCCUCCUCUCUCCCCCACGAUCCGGGCUUGGCCUCUCUGGGCUGUGAGACUCACAGGCUGUUACUGUCUCCGUAACUGGAACCGACGGACCUCGAGAGAAGGUGUCUUGUCCCUCCCACCGUGCCCACAACCUUCACGCGGUGCCUGACACAGAGCAGGGCCUCUCGAGCCUUUGAGGACAUCUGGGGGACGACUCUGAACUCACCCUCGCAUUGCACCGUCUCACCUCUCUCUAGGGGCCUGUCCCUUCCCACGGUGACCUUCGAAGCAUGUCUGUCUGUCACCAUGUCCCGGCACAGUCUGGCCAUGCUCACUCAUGUCCACCCGCUGACUCAUUGCAGCUGGCACGCUUCUUGCAAAUGGCAGAAACUCACACAUUUUUUGCAUGAGUAAAUAGUAACCAAAAAAAAAAAAGAUGGUUUACGUGCUCUACACUAGCAGCCAGCACGUCACCUGGAAACACCGAGACGAGAGCCGCCACUCAGACAUCUCCAUCUCCUGGGAUCCGCGCUCCGUGUGGCCCUGGCAGAGUGCCCAGGAUAAAGGGCAUGGCCAGCACCUGCGGCCUGCUUUGGGCCCCAGUCCUGGUCCCCGCAUCUGGACGAGGCUGUAGCAUCCCAGAGGCUUCUGCUCUGCCUCUGGGGACCUUUGCUUCCUUUGCAGAAGGUCUCCUUCUUCCUGCAGUGAGGCGGGUGGUUACUCCAGAGCUGCCCGCUCAGCAUAGGGCGACCCCCUGCCAGGCUGUCCAUGGUGCUCUUCCUAAGUGAGCCCCCCCACCCCCGGGGGAACCCCUGGCUCUGUUUGGGGCCUGGCAGACUCUCCCUAGGGCUGGCCCCUUCCUGCACUCCCCUCCCCUGCCCUCCGACCUCAGCAUAUGGCUCAGGGACACAGACACCCAAAGGCCUCCUCUUGGGUCCUCAGCCUUGAUCUCGGCCACGGCCCUGCUUAAAUAUCAGGAAAACGCAUUGGCCACAUAAAUAAUUCCUCACUAACGGCAGCGACAGAAAUCGGAACCAGCAACCCUAGAGGGCUGGAGGGGGGGGCCACCUGGCCUGUGAACAGGCACAUUGCUGCUGCUUUGCUGGCCUUCGUGGUUCAUUUAAGCGGCCUGCGGAAGGCCUCGCCUGAAAGUGGGUGCUGUCUGAGAUGGGGAGGGGCCCUGCGCCCAGUAGGACCCACACAACUGUGGCAGCCACAGAGCCACAAGGAGCCUCAGUGUAGGAGGCGAAGGAGACAACGUCCCGGGGGCAGACGCUGGGACUGGGCAGUCUCUGGUUUGACCUGUUCACCAUGGGUUAUUGACUUAACCUGUGGACAACUGGGCCAUUCUUUGAGGGUGGAGGGGGUUGGGGGCUUUUCUUCUACCUGCCCUUCCCAGGCCAGGGCCGCGGCUUCCUGACCUAGUGCACACGUCUGUCAAGCUCUCCAGAUACAAUGGGGCAAAAUGACCAAUGUGGCCCCCCGGGUCCCUGAGAAGGAUGCCACUGCAGUGGUUAAUCUGAUUUUCUGGCACCUAAAGCCACUAGGCUGAAGCCUAAAAAAAAAACGAAACAAAAUUUAAAAAGUACAAAACCACCUGAAGCAAAGCCAGGAGCAUAGGGAAGGGCCUUAGGCAUCAAAGAGGGGAGGGGAGGGUCGGGAAGAGGAACCUGUCUGACUCCUGGCUGCACCAGGAGAUUCCUUCCUCACCGAGGGCGGCGCUGGGGCCAGCUGCGCACCCAUCCCUCUGUAAAAAUGCUGCCCCACGCUCCACUCUCUGUGUUUAUCAAUUUAUUUUGAGAGUUUUAUGACACGCUUGUGGCCCACGCUGCAACUAUGAAUAUUAAACGAACCCAUUUCCUGCUGGGGUUUCCAGUCUUAAGGCCUAAAACACAAGAUGAACUCCAGAAACAUGGCAAUCAUAAGGCAGGCUGAAGAAACUCCACGUGGAAAGGAAAACUGUUUUCCACAAAUCUGUAAUAAUAUGCAAACCAUAAUAAUAAAGUACCAUUCCUGCA
This 2508-nucleotide long non-coding RNA is filed under the name Macaca fascicularis (crab-eating macaque). RNAcentral describes it as "lncRNA (ENSMFAG00000062701.1)". The record is from RNAcentral. Lineage: Eukaryota; Metazoa; Chordata; Mammalia; Primates; Cercopithecidae.